This 433-nucleotide ribosomal RNA is filed under the name uncultured bacterium. Its description in RNAcentral is "partial 16S ribosomal RNA". It matches the Rfam family "Bacterial small subunit ribosomal RNA", at positions 29 to 507 of the family's 1533-position model. The record is from RNAcentral.
AGCGAACGCUGGCGGCAGGCCUAACACAUGCAAGUCGAACGGACCCUUCGGGGUUAGUGGCGGACGGGUGAGUAACACGUAGGAACGUGCCUUUAGGUUCGGAAUAGCUCCUGGAAACGGGUGGUAAUGCCGAAUGUGCCCUUCGGGGGAAAGAUUUAUCGCCUUUAGAGCGGCCCGCGUCUGAUUAGCUAGUUGGUGAGGUAACGGCUCACCAAGGCGACGAUCAGUAGCUGGUCUGAGAGGAUGACCAGCCACACUGGGACUGAGACACGGCCCAGACUCCUACGGGAGGCAGCAGUGGGGAAUCUUGCGCAAUGGGCGAAAGCCUGACGCAGCCAUGCCGCGUGAAUGAUGAAGGUCUUAGGAUUGUAAAAUUCUUUCACCGGGGACGAUAAUGACGGUACCCGGAGAAGAAGCCCCGGCUAACUUCGUG